Long non-coding RNA from Parasteatoda tepidariorum (common house spider), 380 nucleotides. RefSeq lists it as uncharacterized. NCBI's taxonomy places the organism in Eukaryota, Metazoa, Arthropoda, Arachnida, Araneae, Theridiidae. The record is from RefSeq and is a predicted model, not a curated record.
CUUUUUCGUGAUUAUUUGGUAUAAAUAGAGAUGCUCUUGGGAAGGUAGUCAUCAUUGCUACAGUUUCUUAGCAAAGCUCUUCAAACUCACUAAAAUGAACUACUUGCUUGCUCUCUUGAUUGUUGCUGCCGUUGUGGCUUGCUGCAUGGCCCAGUGGGGAUAUUCUUCUUACAACUAUAACAAUCCUAAAUAUGGUUACCCAAGCUCUUAUGGAUAUGGUUUUCAACGAAACUUUAUGCCAAACCGUGGAUAUUACAACCAAGGAUGGUACUAAAGGACUUGGACAAAGAUUGGAUAAUGAAUACGGUUUUUGAAACUUGACGAAGAUAUAAUCCUCAUGUCUGCAGACAACUUAAUAUAUGCCAGUUUUUCUUGUAACU